RNAcentral lists this ribosomal RNA (400 nucleotides) under uncultured bacterium. RNAcentral describes it as "bacterial SSU rRNA". It matches the Rfam family "Bacterial small subunit ribosomal RNA", at positions 355 to 771 of the family's 1533-position model. The record is from RNAcentral.
UGGGGAAUAUUGCGCAAUGGGGGAAACCCUGACGCAGCCACGCCGCGUGGGUGAUGAAGGCCUUCGGGUUGUAAAGCCCUGUCGAGGGGGAAGAAGUAUGACGGUACCCCUCAAGAAAGCGCCGGCUAACCCUGUGCCAGCAGCCGCGGUAAUACAGGGGGCGCGAGCGUUGCUCGGAAUCACUGGGCGUAAAGCGUACGCAGGCGGACCGUUAAGUCGAAUGUGAAAGCCCGGGGCUCAACCUCGGAAGUGCAUUCGAAACUGGCGGUCUUGAAUACGGGAGAGGUGAGUGGAAUUCCUGGUGUAGAGGUGAAAUUCGUAGAUAUCAGGAGGAACACCGGUGGCGAAAGCGGCUCACUGGCCCGAUAUUGACGCUCAUGUACGAAAGCGUGGGGAGCAA